GUGCUCACUUCGGCAGCACAUAUACUAAAAUUGGAAUGAUACAGAGAAGAUUUGCAUGGCCCCUUUGCAAGAAUGUCAUGCAAAUUCGUGAAGCAUUCCAUAUUUUU
Small nuclear RNA from Heterocephalus glaber (naked mole-rat), 107 nucleotides. Lineage: Eukaryota; Metazoa; Chordata; Mammalia; Rodentia; Bathyergidae. The record is from Ensembl.